RNAcentral lists this transfer RNA (75 nucleotides) under Paramuricea clavata. Its description in RNAcentral is "tRNA-Ser". The stretch from base 5 to 68 matches the Rfam family "tRNA", at positions 5 to 66 of the family's 71-position model. From Rfam's summary of the family: Transfer RNA (tRNA) molecules are approximately 80 nucleotides in length. Their secondary structure includes four short double-helical elements and three loops (D, anti-codon, and T loops). The record is from RNAcentral. Lineage: Eukaryota; Metazoa; Cnidaria; Anthozoa; Malacalcyonacea; Plexauridae.
GACCCUGUAGCUCAGUUGGUUAGAGCACUGCACCGGAAUCGCAGGACCACAGGUUCGAUUCCUGACAGAGGGUCU